This 794-nucleotide ribosomal RNA is filed under the name uncultured Acidobacteriota bacterium. RNAcentral describes it as "bacterial SSU rRNA". It matches the Rfam family "Bacterial small subunit ribosomal RNA", at positions 71 to 845 of the family's 1533-position model. The record is from RNAcentral. Lineage: Bacteria; Pseudomonadati; Acidobacteriota.
AAAGGGGCUUCGGCUCUGAGUAGAGUGGCGAACGGGUGAGUAACACGUGGGUGACCUACCUUCGAAUGGGGGAUAACGUCCCGAAAGGGACGCUAAUACCGCAUAACAUCCUGCUUUUGAAGAGGUGGAGAUCAAAGCUGGGGAUCGCAAGACCUGGCGUUUGAAGAGGGGCCCGCGUCUGAUUAGCUAGUUGGUGAGGUAACGGCUCACCAAGGCAACGAUCAGUAUCCGGCCUGAGAGGGCGGACGGACACACUGGGACUGAGACACGGCCCAGACUCCUACGGGAGGCAGCAGUGGGGAAUUGUUCGCAAUGGGCGCAAGCCUGACGACGCAACGCCGCGUGGAGGAUGAAGGUCUUCGGAUUGUAAACUCCUGUUGCCCGGGACGAAAUGCUUCGACCUAACACGUCGAAGUUUGACGGUACCGGGUGAGGAAGCCCCGGCUAACUCUGUGCCAGCAGCCGCGGUAAUACAGAGGGGGCAAGCGUUGUUCGGAAUUACUGGGCGUAAAGGGCGCGUAGGCGGCCUUCUAAGUCGAACGUGAAAUCCCCGGGCUCAACCCGGGAACUGCGUCCGAUACUGGAAGGCUUGAAUCCGGGAGAGGGAUGCGGAAUUCCAGGUGUAGCGGUGAAAUGCGUAGAUAUCUGGAGGAACACCGGUGGCGAAGGCGGCAUCCUGGACCGGCAUUGACGCUGAGGCGCGAAAGCCAGGGGAGCAAACGGGAUUAGAUACCCCGGUAGUCCUGGCCCUAAACGAUGAAUGCUUGGUGUGGCGGGUAUCGAUCCCUGCCGUG